GACGAACGCUGGCGGCGUGCUUAACACAUGCAAGUCGCACGAAGUGGCGAACGGGUGAGUAACGCGUAAUCAACCUGCCCUUCAGAGGGGGACAACAGUUGGAAACGACUGCUAAUACCGCAUACUGAAGGAGGGGAUUGCGGCGGAUUAGCUAGUUGGAGGGGUAACGGCCCACAAAGGCGAUGAGCAGCAGCCUGUCUGAGAGGAUGAACGGCCACAUUGGGACUGAGACACGGCACAGACUUCUACGGGAGGCAGCAGUGGGGAAUCUUCCGCAAUUGACGAAAGUCUGACGGCGCAACGCCGCGUGAGUGAUGACGGCCUUCGGGUUGUAAAGCUCUGUUAAUCGGGACGCGGUACCGGAAUAGAAAGCCACGGCUAACUACGUGCCAGCAGCCGCGGUAAUUC
Molecule: ribosomal RNA, 408 nt
Filed under: uncultured bacterium
Lineage: Bacteria
Description: partial 16S ribosomal RNA
Rfam family: Bacterial small subunit ribosomal RNA
Source: RNAcentral